RNAcentral lists this transfer RNA (76 nucleotides) under Pseudomonadales bacterium. RNAcentral's name for it is "tRNA-Thr". It matches the Rfam family "tRNA". Rfam says of the family: Transfer RNA (tRNA) molecules are approximately 80 nucleotides in length. Their secondary structure includes four short double-helical elements and three loops (D, anti-codon, and T loops). Further hydrogen bonds mediate the characteristic L-shaped molecular structure. tRNAs have two regions of fundamental functional importance: the anti-codon, which is responsible for specific mRNA codon recognition, and the 3' end, to which the tRNAs corresponding amino acid is attached (by aminoacyl-tRNA synthetases). tRNAs cope with the degeneracy of the genetic code in two manners: having more than one tRNA (with a specific anti-codon) for a particular amino acid; and 'wobble' base-pairing, i.e. permitting non-standard base-pairing at the 3rd anti-codon position. Lineage: Bacteria; Pseudomonadati; Pseudomonadota; Gammaproteobacteria; Pseudomonadales. The record is from RNAcentral. RNAcentral also lists the same sequence under 4 other names.
GCCGGCGUAGCUCAGUCGGUAGAGCAACUGACUUGUAAUCAGUAGGUCCCGCGUUCGAUUCGUGGUGCCGGCACCA